Molecule: ribosomal RNA, 468 nt
Filed under: uncultured bacterium
Lineage: Bacteria
Description: partial 16S ribosomal RNA
Rfam family: Bacterial small subunit ribosomal RNA
Source: RNAcentral
GACGAACGCUGGCGGCGUGCUUAACACAUGCAAGUCGAACGGAAAGGCACUGCUUGUGUGGGGUGCUCGAGUGGCGAAGGGGUGAGUAACACGAGAGUAACCUGCCCUUGACUUUGGGAUAACUUAAGGAAACUGGGGCUAAUAUAGGAUAGGAGCUCCCGCUGCAUGGUGGGGGUUGGAAAGUUUCGGCGGUUGGGGAUGGACUCGCGGCUUAUCAGCUUGCUGGUGGGGUAGUGGCUUACCAAGGCUUUGACGGGUAGCCGGCCUGGGAGGGUGACCGGCCACAUUGGGACUGAGAUACGGCCCAGACGCCUACGUGAGGCAGCAGUGGGGAAUAUUGCACAAUGGGCGGAAGCCUGAUGCGGCAACGCCGCGUGCGUGAUGACGGCCUUCGGGUUGUAAACCGCUUUCGCCUGUGACGAAGCGUGAGUGACGGUAAUGGGUAAAGAAGCACCGGCUAACUACGUG